AACUCUUGACAUCCAGAGAAUUCGCUAGAGAUAGCUUAGUGCCUUCGGGAACUCUGAGACAGGUGCUGCAUGGCUGUCGUCAGCUCGUGUUGUGAAAUGUUGGGUUAAGUCCCGUAACGAGCGCAACCCUUGUCCUUAUUUGCCAGCACGUAAUGGUGGGAACUCUAAGGAGACUGCCGGUGACAAACCGGAGGAAGGUGGGGACGACGUCAAGUCAUCAUGGCCCUUACGAGUUGGGCUACACACGUGCUACAAUGGCCGGUACAGAGGGCUGCAAACCUGCGAAGGUAAGCUAAUCUCACAAAACCGGUCGUAGUCCGGAUUGGAGUCUGCAACUCGACUUCCAUGAAGU
Molecule: ribosomal RNA, 352 nt
Filed under: uncultured bacterium
Lineage: Bacteria
Description: bacterial SSU rRNA
Rfam family: Bacterial small subunit ribosomal RNA
Source: RNAcentral